UACGAGGGGGGCGAGCGUUGUUCGGAAUUAUUGGGCGUAAAGGGUGCGUAGGCGGUUUGGUAAGUCUCUUGUGAAAUCUAUGGGCUCAACUCAUAGUCUGCAAGGGAAACUGCCGGGCUUGAGUGUGGGAGAGGUGAGUGGAAUUUCCGGUGUAGCGGUGAAAUGCGUAGAUAUCAGGAGGAACACCAAUAGCGAAGGCAGCUCGCUGGGACGGUACUGACGCUGAGACGCGAAAGCGUGGGGAGCGAACAGG
RNAcentral lists this ribosomal RNA (253 nucleotides) under uncultured bacterium. RNAcentral's name for it is "partial 16S ribosomal RNA". It matches the Rfam family "Bacterial small subunit ribosomal RNA", at positions 524 to 776 of the family's 1533-position model. The record is from RNAcentral.